CUCAGCGAAACUCAUAGAAGAUUCUACUAGUACUAUUGGUAGUAAAUAGUUUGGCUCAGAUCCAAGAUCAUUCCCAGGCCAAUUCUAACCAAUGUUACCAGUUUAUUGAUUUGACUCAAAUUUACAACCUCCGCGGAUCUGCAUCAGAAGAUUAUCCACGAGCUGGCAUAGCACAAGAAUAUGGACGUCGAACAGAAUUACAAGAGUUUCUGCAGAACAUAAUAGGAACGGUAGCCGCGAAGAAUGAUGCUCCAGAUAUUAACAAAGUUCCAUUUCCGGCGGUCCAAGUACCAGCUCAUCGAGUAAAUCUCCCACCAAACCAGUCUUCCCGUCCUACAAUAAGUUUUGGUCCAAAAUAUAUCCCUACAGCAUAUGCAGGAGCUGCAUAUCAACCAAAAAAUCCUUAUCAGCGUAGAAUCAAUCCUUAUCAACAAAUGAUGCCACCUCAUCAA
Patella vulgata (common limpet) is the source of this 452-nucleotide long non-coding RNA. RefSeq lists it as uncharacterized. The record is from RefSeq and is a predicted model, not a curated record. Lineage: Eukaryota; Metazoa; Mollusca; Gastropoda; Patellidae. The transcript has 3 exons.